This 253-nucleotide ribosomal RNA is filed under the name uncultured bacterium. RNAcentral describes it as "partial 16S ribosomal RNA". It matches the Rfam family "Bacterial small subunit ribosomal RNA", at positions 524 to 776 of the family's 1533-position model. The record is from RNAcentral.
UACAGAGGGUGCGAGCGUUGUUCGGAAUUACUGGGCGUAAAGCGUGCGCAGGCGGUUGGUUAAGUCUGAUGUGAAAGCCCCGAGCUCAACUUGGGAAUGGCAUUGGAAACUGGCUGGCUAGAGUGUGGCAGAGGGGGGUGGAAUUCCGCGUGUAGCAGUGAAAUGCGUAGAGAUGCGGAGGAACACCGAUGGCGAAGGCAGCCCCCUGGGCUGACACUGACGCUCAGGCACGAAAGCGUGGGGAGCGAACGGG